This 468-nucleotide ribosomal RNA is filed under the name uncultured bacterium. Its description in RNAcentral is "partial 16S ribosomal RNA". It matches the Rfam family "Bacterial small subunit ribosomal RNA", at positions 28 to 507 of the family's 1533-position model. The record is from RNAcentral.
GACGAACGCUGGCGGCGCGCCUAACACAUGCAAGUCGAACGGAGCUGAGAGAAGCUUGCUUUUCUUAGCUUAGUGGCGGACGGGUGAGUAACGCGUGAGUAACCUGCCCUGGAGUGGGGGACAACAGUGGGAAACGACUGCUAAUACCGCAUAAGCCCACGAUCCGGCAUCGGAUUGAGGGAAAAGGAUUUAUUCGCUUCAGGAUGGACUCGCGUCCAAUUAGCUAGUUGGUGAGGUAACGGCCCACCAAGGCGAGGAUUGGUAGCCGGACUGAGAGGUUGAACGGCCACAUUGGGGCUGAGACACAGCCCAGACUACUACGGGAGGCAGCAGUGGGGGAUAUUGCACAAUGGGGGAAGCCCUGAUGCAGCGACGGCGCGUGGGGGAAGAAGUUUUUCGGAUUGUAAACUCGUGUAGUACGGGACGAUAAUGACGGUACCUAACAAGAAAGCACCGGCUAACUACGUG